UGAUGACUCUCUCGUGACAGUGUCAGAGGGGGACUGAGAGCUGGGAGAGUUCAAGGUGACUGUGGAGAGGGACAGUCUCGGGAGUAGCCCUGCCUUCUGUUCCAUGCACAAAGCCAUAGAGCUAUCAACAGCCCUCCAUCACUGCCUAACUGUUUUUGAAUCUGGAGACACUGAAGCAGAUCCAGCAUGAGUACGUCAAGGACAACAUUCAACCCGAUCAGCUUCUAGCUAACUCCAGCAUCACUGAUCAACAACUCCAUACAUCUGACUCAGAUGAAGGGCAAAGGGGCAUUGACCAACAUGAAGCUGUCACAGUGCAGCAAGAUCUGACAACACAUGCCACUGCUUUUGUGAUAAAUGAGAGCCAAGCAUCGUCUCUCACAGGCAUGAAUGACAUUGUUGCUGGGGUACAGCAGUAUCAAUCAUCACUAUUGGACAACCUCAGGAAGCAGAUGGAGUCAGUGCUAAGGAAGCGUUCAGGAAGCACAUCAGGUCAACUUGAAAAAGAUGCAAUGGAUAUAUUUGACAAUUUCAUUGACCCUUUUGCUGGCGUUGCAACAACAUUUAGACAAGACAGUGUUAUUAAGAAGCAGUUUAGCAGUUUGGAUGCAGAGGAAAUUCCAAUUGCUUGAACCAUAUGCAGGAUGAAAUGUGGAGGUUCAAAAUACAUUUUCAUCAAAGACAAAUUAUUUCAUUAUGUACCAUUAGUCAAAAGUCUAGAACAGUUCUUAUCACACCCAAGGAUUUUGUCUAUGGUUGAAAAGGGACCCCAGAUGUGUAACGGGCGUCGUAUGUAGUAGACCAAGGCGCAGCGGGUUGAGUGCUCAUCUUAAACUUUUAUUGAACACUUACAAAACAAGAAACCGAACACACAGUAUUGCAGGCUACACACACAGCUAUGCAAAAACAACUUCCCACAAAAGACAGGUGAAAACAGGGCUACCUAAGUAUGACUCCCAAUCAGUAACAACGAUGUACAGCUGUUCCUGAUUGAGAGCCAUACCAGGCCAACAAAGAAAUACACAACAUAGAAAAAACAUAGAAAUACAAAACAUAGAACAAUACCCAAAAACCCUGGAACACAUAAAACAAACACCCCCUGCCACGUCCUGACCAAACUACAAUAACAAAUAACCCCUUUACUGGUCAAGAUGUGCAAGGAAAGUUUUUUUUUCAUGACGUUGUUAAUGGUGCUCUUCUAAAAUCACAUACCUUUGGUUUCUCUGAAAAUAAGGGAUUGCAGAUUGUUCUGUACAUGGAUGAAAUAGAAAUCUGUAAUCCACUAGGAUCCUUUGCAUCAAAAAACAAGUUGUUAAUGGUGUACUACACCCUAGGAAAUAUAAAUCCAAAAUACAGGUCUAAACUGGCUGCUAUCAUGCUACUUGCCAUGGCUAGAUCAGCAGACCUCCGUCAAUCUGGUGUAGAUGUAAUAUUGAAUAGAAUCAAGGAAGACAUGGAUGCAUUGUAUGGAUGUAUUUGGCCCUGUCCGGGGGUAUCAUCGGAUGGGGCCACAGUGUCUUCUUAUCCCUCCUGUCUCAGCCUCCAGUAUUUAUGCUGCAGUAGUUUGUGUCGGGGGGCUAGGGUCAGUCUGUUACAUCUGGGGUAUUUCUCUUGUCUUGUCCGGUGUCCUGUGUGAAUUUAAAUAUGCUCUCUCUAAUUCUCUCCUUCUGUCUUUCUCUCGGAGGACCUGAGCCCUAGGACCAUGCCUCAGGACUACCUGGCAUGAUGACUCCUUGCUGUCCCCAGUCCACCUGGCCGUGCUGCUGCUCCAGUUUCAACUGUUCUGCCUGCGGCUAUGGAACCCUGACCUGUUCACCGGACGUACUUGUUGCAUCCUCGACAACUACUAUGAUUAUUAUUUGACCAUGCUGGUCAUUUAUGAACAUUUUAACAUCUUGACCAUGUUCUGUUAUAAUAUCCACUCUGCACAGCCAGAAGAGGACUGGCCACCCCUCAUAACCUGGUUCCUCUCUAGGUUUCUUCCUAGGUUUUUGGCCUUUGUAGGGAGUUUUUCCUAGGGAGUUUUUCCUAGCCACCGUGCUUCUUUCACAUGCAUUGCUUGCUGUUUGGGGUUUUAGGCUGGGUUUCUGAACAGCACUUUGAGAUAUCAGCUGAUGUACGAAGGGCUAUAUAAAUACAUUUGAUUUUUGAAAUUUGAUUGUACAGUGGGGUUAAAAUGCUAACUAUUAAUGGAGAGAAUUAUAUAUGGUGCCAUGGUCUCUCUGUGGAGACACCCUGGCACAACAUGAACUAGCAGGGUUCAAAGAGUGUGGGCUUUGCUACAGUAAGUGCAGACACUGAGUGUUCUUUUGAGGACAUGCAGUCACACUUCAAUGAGGAUGCAUAUACUAAAAGGACAUUGGCGAAGCAUGUCAGACAGUGUGAUGAAAUAGAAAAGGCACCAACUGACUUGCUUCACAACAGCCUGAGCACAACAUAUGGGAUCAAUAAAAGGAGCAAGUUAGUUGAAUUCCCAGCCUUUAUCAUACAACAAACUCCGCAAGACAUUAUGCAUGUAAUUCUGGAGGGCAUAGACCCAUUGGAAAUCAAAUGUUUUGAAUCAUCUUGUGUCAGGACAGAUUGAUCUGGACUCGGUGAAUUCUGCUAUUCUUGGUUUCCCUUAUUCCCCUCUAGAUGUUAGAGAUCGGCCAUCCCCAAUUUCAGUUAGUAGAUUAACGUCAAGUGAUGGUAAACUAAAACAGUCAUCUGGGCAAAUGCUUGUCCUGCUAAGGAUAUUGUCAUUUGUUUUGGAGAGUUUGGAAGUCAAUACAUAUAUACUACUGAUAAUUGAGCUAAUAGAGAUUGUACAGAUAGUAUUUACACCAGUUCUUUCCAUUGUGACUGUGUCUAGGUUGAAGUUACUCAUUGAAAAUCAUUUGAAGCAUUGGAAGGAGCUUUUUCCAGACCGCAAUGUUACACCUAAACAACAUGAUACAUUUUCCAUCACAGAUAAAGUUAUUGGGUCCAAUGGUUAGACAUAUGUGUAUGCGGUUCGAGUCUAAACAUUGUUUCUUUAAACAAUGGGUUUCCAAGCUCAAUUAAAAAAAUAUUUGCAAGUCUUUGAUCAAUCAGAACCAAAUAUAUGAAAACUGCCAAAAUGUUGACAGUUCAAUGCACCCAUUUUUUUUCAAAUGAAAGGGAGAUGGGACCUGUAUCAGAGGUUAAAGAUCUACAAUAUUUACGUGGAAAAUUGAGGGACUUCCUAGGUUUCAAUGAAGUAAACCAUUCUGUAUCAGUCAAAUGGCUUGAAAUAAAUACAUAACUCAGAAGUCCAUGAUCUUUGCCAAAGUACUGAAUGGUAAUAUGCCAGAAUUUGGACUGGUCAAAACAUAUUUCUUGUUGAUUCUAGGCUUUAUCGUUUGAAAUAUCAACCAUUUCAAACUAUACGCUUUGAGAGAAACGUCAUGGCUUAUCAAGUUGAGGUCCCACACCUUGCACAGGCCACUGAGUUACUGGAUGCUGAAAAGCUGGUUGAUUUGACCUCUUAUUACACAAUUAGCAACAAGAGCCAAACUUAUGUACAAGUCAAAUACCAUCUUUGGGAUGUAAUAGAAUUGUACAAUAGUUCAAAUGACUCAGUGUGUUCCCCAGAUAUGAAAAGUGUACUGUCUUUGUUCUGUACUGUAUUUUGUCUACAUGAUUGCUGUGCUGUGUGUAAGAUUGACAAUAAAACAGUGAAUUCCAUUUGGUCAA
This 3693-nucleotide long non-coding RNA is filed under the name Salmo salar (Atlantic salmon). RNAcentral's name for it is "lncRNA (ENSSSAG00000104537.1)". Lineage: Eukaryota; Metazoa; Chordata; Actinopteri; Salmoniformes; Salmonidae. The record is from RNAcentral.